Molecule: transfer RNA, 89 nt
Organism: Neolentinus lepideus HHB14362 ss-1
Lineage: Eukaryota; Fungi; Basidiomycota; Agaricomycetes; Gloeophyllales; Gloeophyllaceae
Rfam family: tRNA
About the family: Transfer RNA (tRNA) molecules are approximately 80 nucleotides in length.
Source: Rfam
GGACCCUUAGCUCAAUCGGUAGAGCGUUGUACUUAUGUGGAUAUCUUGUUGAGAUGCAGCGGUCCCGAGUUCGAUUCUCGGAGGGUCCA